RNAcentral lists this ribosomal RNA (687 nucleotides) under uncultured bacterium. RNAcentral's name for it is "bacterial SSU rRNA". It matches the Rfam family "Bacterial small subunit ribosomal RNA", at positions 8 to 692 of the family's 1533-position model. The record is from RNAcentral.
AGAGUUUGAUCAUGGCUCAGAUUGAACGCUGGCGGCAUGCUUUACACAUGCAAGUCGAACGGUAACAGGCCGCAAGGUGCUGACGAGUGGCGAACGGGUGAGUAAUGCAUCGGAACGUGCCCAGUCGUGGGGGAUAACGCAGCGAAAGCUGCGCUAAUACCGCAUACGAUCUAUGGAUGAAAGCGGGGGACCGUAAGGCCUCGCGCGAUUGGAGCGGCCGAUGUCAGAUUAGGUAGUUGGUGGGGUAAAGGCUCACCAAGCCGACGAUCUGUAGCUGGUCUGAGAGGACGACCAGCCACACUGGGACUGAGACACGGCCCAGACUCCUACGGGAGGCAGCAGUGGGGAAUUUUGGACAAUGGGCGCAAGCCUGAUCCAGCAAUGCCGCGUGCAGGAAGAAGGCCUUCGGGUUGUAAACUGCUUUUGUACGGAACGAAAAGGCCCUGGUUAAUACCUGGGGCUCAUGACGGUACCGUAAGAAUAAGCACCGGCUAACUACGUGCCAGCAGCCGCGGUAAUACGUAGGGUGCAAGCGUUAAUCGGAAUUACUGGGCGUAAAGCGUGCGCAGGCGGUUUUGUAAGACAGGCGUGAAAUCCCCGGGCUCAACCUGGGAAUUGCGCUUGUGACUGCAAGGCUGGAGUGCGGCAGAGGGGGAUGGAAUUCCGCGUGUAGCAGUGAAAUGCGUA